Molecule: ribosomal RNA, 429 nt
Filed under: Chloroflexota bacterium
Lineage: Bacteria; Bacillati; Chloroflexota
Description: Chloroflexi bacterium partial 16S ribosomal RNA
Rfam family: Bacterial small subunit ribosomal RNA
Source: RNAcentral
UGGGGAAUAUUGCACAAUGGGCGCAAGCCUGAUGCAGCCAUGCCGCGUGUAUGAAGAAGGCCUUCGGGUUGUAAAGUACUUUCAGCGGGGAGGAAGGGAGUAAAGUUAAUACCUUUGCUCAUUGACGUUACCCGCAGAAGAAGCACCGGCUAACUCCGUGCCAGCAGCCGCGGUAAUACGGAGGGUGCAAGCGUUAAUCGGAAUUACUGGGCGUAAAGCGCACGCAGGCGGUUUGUUAAGUCUGAUGUGAAAUCCCCGGGCUCAACCUGGGAACUGCAUCUGAUACUGGCAAGCUUGAGUCUCGUAGAGGGGGGUAGAAUUCCAGGUGUAGCGGUGAAAUGCGUAGAGAUCUGGAGGAAUACCGGUGGCGAAGGCGGCCCCCUGGACGAAGACUGACGCUCAGGUGCGAAAGCGUGGGGAGCAAACAGG